GACGAACGCUGGCGGCGUGCCUAAUACAUGCAAGUAGAACGCUGAAGGAGGAGCUUGCUUCUCUGGAUGAGUUGCGAACGGGUGAGUAACGCGUAGGUAACCUGCCUGGUAGCGGGGGAUAACUAUUGGAAACGAUAGCUAAUACCGCAUAACAGUAGAUGUUGCAUGACAUUUGCUUAAAAGGUGCAAUUGCAUCACUACCAGAUGGACCUGCGUUGUAUUAGCUAGUUGGUGGGGUAACGGCUCACCAAGGCGACGAUACAUAGCCGACCUGAGAGGGUGAUCGGCCACACUGGGACUGAGACACGGCCCAGACUCCUACGGGAGGCAGCAGUAGGGAAUCUUCGGCAAUGGACGGAAGUCUGACCGAGCAACGCCGCGUGAGUGAAGAAGGUUUUCGGAUCGUAAAGCUCUGUUGUAAGAGAAGAACGAGUGUGAGAGU
Molecule: ribosomal RNA, 442 nt
Filed under: Streptococcus mitis
Lineage: Bacteria; Bacillati; Bacillota; Bacilli; Lactobacillales; Streptococcaceae
Description: bacterial SSU rRNA
Rfam family: Bacterial small subunit ribosomal RNA
Source: RNAcentral